Molecule: non-coding RNA, 674 nt
Organism: Nicotiana tabacum (common tobacco)
Lineage: Eukaryota; Viridiplantae; Streptophyta; Magnoliopsida; Solanales; Solanaceae
Source: RefSeq, a predicted model, not a curated record
UCCACUUUUAAUAGCUAAAUGAGUUAGGGAUAAGAAUUACUUUUGCUAGUUUACUAAUAUAUGAAAGAAAUUACUCUUGCUAGUUUAGUUCAAGAUCACAUUUUUAUGAUUUCCUAGACUACUUUUCAUGAUAGGGGAUGUAUCUGGAAAAGUAAAAUUCAAAAGGGUAGCCCGGUACACGAAGCAUUUUGCGUUCACGCAGGACUUGGGGAAGGGCCGCACCACAAUGAGGUGAAGAAUUUGAGAGGAAGAAGGCAGAAUAUGAAGAGAAGAUGAAGAACAAGAUGGCUGUAAUUCACAGGGAAGCAGAAGAAAAGAGGGCACUAAUUGAAGCAAAUCGAGGCCAAGAUUUUCUAAAAGUAGAGGAAACUGCUGCAAAAUUUCAUGCUACUGGAAUUCCCAAAAAGUUCUUGGGUUGCUUUGGCCGCUAAAUUUUUUUUAUCAAAUAUCUCAAAAACAAUCAUAUGCAGACUCUGCAUUCUGUUUUUCUUUUUCUCCUUAUUUGUUACCAUGAUAUUUCUAGUUUUAUUUCUUUGAGUUGGUUGGGUAUAAUUGCUUAAUGAUUGAUCCUUUUGUGUAUAGAGCAAGUACUUGAUUAUAUUUUUGAUAGAACAAUCAUGUGUUAUGAACAAAAACUCAGAAUUUCUGUUAAGUUGGUUCAAUUUUUCAUGUUA